GGCGAACGCUGGCGGCGUGCUUAACACAUGCAAGUCGAACGGAAAGGCCCUGCUUUUGUGGGGUGCUCGAGUGGCGAACGGGUGAGUAACACGUGAGUAACCUGCCCUUGACUUUGGGAUAACUUCAGGAAACUGGGGCUAAUACCGGAUAGGAGCUCCUGCUGCAUGGUGGGGGUUGGAAAGUUUCGGCGGUUGGGGAUGGACUCGCGGCUUAUCAGCUUGUUGGUGGGGUAGUGGCUUACCAAGGCUUUGACGGGUAGCCGGCCUGAGAGGGUGACCGGCCACAUUGGGACUGAGAUACGGCCCAGACUCCUACGGGAGGCAGCAGUGGGGAAUAUUGCACAAUGGGCGGAAGCCUGAUGCAGCAACGCCGCGUGCGGGAUGACGGCCUUCGGGUUGUAAACCGCUUUCGCCUGUGACGAAGCGUAAGUGACGGUAAUGGGUAAAGAAGCACCGGCUAACUACGUG
This 468-nucleotide ribosomal RNA is filed under the name uncultured bacterium. Its description in RNAcentral is "partial 16S ribosomal RNA". It matches the Rfam family "Bacterial small subunit ribosomal RNA", at positions 28 to 507 of the family's 1533-position model. The record is from RNAcentral.